AAGUCCUUUUUGUAAACUGUAAUAACAUCAUCUUGGUCAUUUACAUCCAGACAUCGCUUCUGCUUGAGUUUACAGGUCACAGGUGACACUUGGUGUUCUUUGAUUGGCUGUGAAUGACGCAAUAACUUCUAUUUCGGUAUUCUCCUCCCACACAUUUUAUCAUCAGUCCUCUCACCUGUACAGAUAAACACAAAUCACCUGCAUGAUAACUUCGUGACUAACUUUCUCUCGGGCCUUCUCUUUUGAGUUAGUGGUUCUAGAGAUUGCCUUGGAGAUUGUGGUACUUCAAUCUCCAAUGCGAGGUCUGGUGGAUCAUCUACACCUGGAGUUGAUUGUCGAGAUGAUCAUGUUAGUCGAGGUGCAUCAGGAAGUGGGCAGGUUACAUCUUUACAUUUGUAUCUGCAAA
Molecule: long non-coding RNA, 406 nt
Organism: Amphimedon queenslandica
Lineage: Eukaryota; Metazoa; Porifera; Demospongiae; Haplosclerida; Niphatidae
Exons: 3
Source: RefSeq, a predicted model, not a curated record